AUGGAAGGCCUCUUCCAUUCGGAUUUUGCACCUGGCCUUGCCUUGGCCAAUCAGGUGAGAUGCAGGUUUGUCUCCACGGUCCAUUUUUCUCCUUCUCGAGACUCUAAGGAAUUCUUUUUGGUGGUCUCUUUUUCCUCGGCUUCCUUUGCCCUCUCCGUGGAUUCGGUGGAUACUGCGCUCCAAUGUUGCAUUGGG
This 195-nucleotide ribosomal RNA is filed under the name Triticum aestivum (bread wheat). RNAcentral describes it as "partial small subunit ribosomal RNA". The record is from RNAcentral. Lineage: Eukaryota; Viridiplantae; Streptophyta; Magnoliopsida; Poales; Poaceae.